Molecule: ribosomal RNA, 465 nt
Filed under: uncultured bacterium
Lineage: Bacteria
Description: bacterial SSU rRNA
Rfam family: Bacterial small subunit ribosomal RNA
Source: RNAcentral
CUGCGGGAGGCAGCAGUGGGGAAUAUUGGACAAUGGGCGCAAGCCUGAUCCAGCAAUGCCGCGUGGGAGAAGACGGCCUGCGGGUUGUAAAGCCCUUUAGGCGGGGAAGAACGGCCGGGCGCAAACAGCGCGCGGCUCUGACGUUACCCGCAGAAUAAGCACCGGCUAACUCCGUGUCAGCGGCCGCGGUAAUACGGAGGGUGCGAGCGUUAAUCGGAAUUACUGGGCGUAAAGCUUGCGUAGGCGGUUCGGUCAGUCAGCCGUGAAAGCCCCGGGCUCAACCUGGGAACGGCGGUUGAGACGGCCGGACUAGAGUGGGCUAGAGGAUCGUGGAAUUCCCGGUGUAGCGGUGAAAUGCGUAGAGAUCGGGAGGAACACCGAUGGCGAAGGCAGCGGUCUGGGGCCACACUGACGCUGAGGCACGAAAGCGUGGGGAGCAAACAGGAUUAGAUACCCUGGUAGUCC